UUCGCACCGGUACGGGGUCCGUACCGGCCGGUACACAGAUGAAAACCGGAUAUACCGGUUUUCAUCGCUCUCCGGUACCGGUCAAGCACCGGACCGGUUUGUACCGGCCCGUACCGGCCGGUACGGACCGGUACGGCUUUCCUUGAUAUUAGCUGUAGAGUGCAUUUGGCCCCAAAUAUGUAUUUUAAUAUGUAACUACAUGCCAGAUGCCAAACUAUGUUGAAACAUUGGAUUUGAGCUCGUUGUACUAACAUGGAUUGUUGCAUGUUCAACUAUCUGCAACCAAACAGGCCUAUGGUGCAAUUAUGGAUUUUAUAGGCUUAAACAACUCAGCAAAGUGUUUACAUUAGCUUAUUAGUAAGUGAUGGGAUUUUAGCUUACUAAAGGCUCAGUUAAAAUUCCUCUUUUUUCUCUAUCAUUUGUUGCCUUUUUGUGAUUGUUUUCUUGUUUCAACCUUGGGUUUGCAACUUAACAUGAACUCAUGAUGUACAUCAUCAUAGAUAUCAUUGUGUGCAUUUGUAAUAAUACUGCAGGGCAAGCAUCAAAAGCUCCUUCAGUCUUAGCUAGGCUGAAUAUUUUUUUGUUUUCGUAACUUUGACAGUUUUGACAGAAACUAAAAACAAUAGCUUAGAAAUAUUAAAAUAUUAAAUUAGAAAAAAUAUUUGAAGUCAAGAAAGUAAGUUAUGCUUAAUCUAAAAGGAUGGUGCGUUGUUUGAGAUCUUUGUCUCAUUUUGGAGGUUUUGCAUCGGAAAAGUCAGAAAAAUAAUAUUUCUUAGCAAAAUGUUAAAAAUAAUGUUUGACAUUAUUUUAGGGAGUAAUAUGUCAUUUUAAUUAUUGUUUGUUGAUUAUCAAUUGACUGGCAAUCAUAAAAUUAUGAGAUUUAACUCAAUAGGCAACCCAUAUGUUGAUAGAUUUCUUUAAUUUCUUUGUACUCACAGUGCUUUCAGAUUUCGAAGCAUUCAAAGUUUAUGUUAGGCUUGAGAAUAUGCUUCUUGAAAUCCAAAGGGAUGAACAAAUUGUAAAGAGGUGUAAAACAUGCAUAUAAAGGUUUUUUGUUUUCUCUGAGUUAAAAUCGUCAUGUCAAUUCUGUUAUUUUAUUAAAGUUGAGGUCUUAAGUCAGUCUGCUCUGGAUGGUUACAUAGAAACAAAAGUGAGAUUUUGAGGGGAAGGCUCUGGCAUUAGCUUGAUAACUUGAUUGACAAAUUUCAGGGUAGUGGUACUGCCACUUUAAUUCGUUGUGGACUCAACUGCAUAUGUGAUGUCAGGAGUUUGUCAACGUAUUCUAUAAUCAUCAUAAACUUGGUUUGCUUGUGGGAUACAAAUAGUAAUCAGUAGUCAGGAAUCUUUUCGUGAAGGAUGUUACUUAUGAAGGAAACCCUAAUCAAAUUCUAAACUAUGCUUCUUUUAGUGCAUGGAAACAAAAUUUUGUUAAGCUAAUAUGCACUUUUACAGGAGAAGGAUCUCCUAUCUCGGUCCAUGGGUUCGUCCACAAUCAAACAAAUAUGUUACAACAAUUGUGAAAUUGAAUAUUAUUUUUCAAAAGCGAGGAUGCAUGUUUGAUGUGUAUAUUUCCUCAACGUUCAUUUACAAGAACACCGAAAGAAUAAACAUAGAAUUUAUUUUAGUUUUGUUUCCAUUACAAUUGUAAAAUUUGUGCUUCGACAACUAUAAGAAUAAACAUACCUACUAAUUAUUAAUGCAUUUAAGUGUGUUUUUGCUCCGUCUCUUCUUUUAUAUAUUGGCUCUAUGAAAGAAUUUGUUGGCAUGUAUAUGCUUUGAAGAUACUCGGUAUAUAUGCUUGUUAAAGAAAUUGUGAGGAAAUGGAGCAUUAGUGUUGCUGUGAGAGAUUUUUACCAUCAUGGAAUUGCAUUUUCUUUUGACACAGAUUUGCAUAAGCAUGGAAAUACUUAUGUUUAUAUCUGCUAUGCAAUUCAUGAAUCGAAGGAAUGCUGCCUUUGCCAGGACUGGGGAGUUUAGGCGUAUUUGUGGAGCAUUGACAAUGCUGUAGAUUCUCAAGUUACCCUUGGACCUCAUGUAAGCAGGGAAAAAAGGGGGGGAAUGAUAAAAAGAGAUGUUACCUGUGAUCCAAUUUCACUCUAAUCAAGUCAUAAGUCAUUCUGUUUUAGGAUCAAGAAUAGAAGCCUGGCCUUUGUUAGAUUUGUUUUUCUAAUACUAACUACUGAGACUUGACCUUGUCAUUUAUUUUGAUUAUUUUACUGAAAAGUCUAAGUAGACAUGCUGGAGCAGGGCCCAUGCAACAAGCACAGCAGCCCAUGCCGGUAAUCCAGCAACAGAUGCUUCCAAGGGGACGCCCUUACCGCUACCCUCCUGGGCGCAACAUGCCUGGUGCUGCUGGUGGAAUGCUUUCUCCUUAUGACAUGGGAGGAUUGCCAGCGUGAGAUGCUGGCAUGACACAACUUAUUCCGAUUGGAGCAUUGGCUUCAGCCCUUGCAAAUGCAACUCCUGACCAUGAUGCUUGGCGAAGGUCUGUACCCCCUUGUGGAGCAACUGGAACAUGAUUAUGCAGCCAAAGUGACAGGGAUGCUUCUGGAGAUGGACCAGACUGAGUCCUGCAUUCAAAAGUUGCUGAAGCCAUGGAGGUACUGAGGAAUGUUGCUCAGCGGCAGCAGCAGCCCAAUGCACCUACUGAUCAGUUGGCUGCACUGUCUCUAAAUGAUGGCCUUGUAUCUUGAAGCGAUGCCGUUAUUAUUCGAUUUGCUUUGGAGACUGUCGUAAUUUGAACUAGUGAUAGUUUUGAGUGGUUUUGGUUUGGCUUUGGAUGGCAGAACUUGCUGGCUAAUGUAGGUUCAGAAUUUAGUUAUACUUUCAUUCACUUUCUUUUGUUCCUAGGAUUCAUGACAUGCCCUCUUAGAUUUCAUGACUUGGCUCUCUGAGA
Molecule: non-coding RNA, 2896 nt
Organism: Phoenix dactylifera (date palm)
Lineage: Eukaryota; Viridiplantae; Streptophyta; Magnoliopsida; Arecales; Arecaceae
Source: RefSeq, a predicted model, not a curated record